RNAcentral lists this transfer RNA (67 nucleotides) under Amalda northlandica (Northland olive shell). RNAcentral's name for it is "tRNA-Met". The record is from RNAcentral. Lineage: Eukaryota; Metazoa; Mollusca; Gastropoda; Neogastropoda; Olividae.
UGUAAAAUAAGCUAAACACUAAGCUGUUGGGUUCAUACCCCAGAAAUGAAUGACUAUUCUUUUACAA